This 253-nucleotide ribosomal RNA is filed under the name uncultured bacterium. RNAcentral describes it as "partial 16S ribosomal RNA". It matches the Rfam family "Bacterial small subunit ribosomal RNA", at positions 524 to 776 of the family's 1533-position model. The record is from RNAcentral.
CACGUAGGGCGCAAGCGUUGUCCGGAAUUAUUGGGCGUAAAGAGCUCGUAGGCGGUCUGUUGCGUCCGCUGUGAAAACUCGGGGCUUAACCCCGAGCCUGCAGUGGAUACGGGCAGACUAGAGUUCGGUAGGGGAGACUGGAAUUCCUGGUGUAGCGGUGAAAUGCGCAGAUAUCAGGAGGAGCACCGGUGGCGAAGGCGGGUCUCUGGGCCGAUACUGACGCUGAGGAGCGAAAGCGUGGGGAGCGAACAGG